This 72-nucleotide transfer RNA is filed under the name Erinaceus europaeus (western European hedgehog). It matches the Rfam family "tRNA". Rfam says of the family: Transfer RNA (tRNA) molecules are approximately 80 nucleotides in length. Their secondary structure includes four short double-helical elements and three loops (D, anti-codon, and T loops). Lineage: Eukaryota; Metazoa; Chordata; Mammalia; Eulipotyphla; Erinaceidae. The record is from Rfam by way of RNAcentral.
GGGGAUGUAGCUCAGUGGCAGAGCAUUUGACUGCAAAAUAAUAGUUACAUGAAAUAUUUUAGCUUAUUCCCU